CCUACGGGAGGCAGCAGUGAGGAAUAUUGGUCAAUGGACGAGAGUCUGAACCAGCCAAGUAGCGUGAAGGAUGACUGCCCUAUGGGUUGUAAACUUCUUUUAUAUGGGAAUAAAACGUUCCACGUGUGGGAUUUUGUAUGUACCAUAUGAAUAAGGAUCGGCUAACUCCGUGCCAGCAGCCGCGGUAAUACGGAGGAUCCGAGCGUUAUCCGGAUUUAUUGGGUUUAACGGGAGCGUAGGUGGAUUGUUAAGGCAGUUGUGAAAGUUUGCGGCUAAACCGUAAAAUUGCAGUUGAAACUGGCAGUCUUGAGUACAGUAGAGGUGGGCGGAAUUCGUGGUGUAGCGGUGAAAUGCUUAGAUAUCACGAAGAACUCCGAUUGCGAAGGCAGUUCACUGGACUGCAACUGACACUGAGGCUCGAAAGUGUGGGUAUCAAACAGGAUUAGAUACCCUAGUAGUC
This 460-nucleotide ribosomal RNA is filed under the name uncultured bacterium. RNAcentral describes it as "partial 16S ribosomal RNA". It matches the Rfam family "Bacterial small subunit ribosomal RNA", at positions 338 to 795 of the family's 1533-position model. The record is from RNAcentral.